AGCGAACGCUGGCGGCAGGCCUAACACAUGCAAGUCGAACGAGCUCUUCGGAGUUAGUGGCGGACGGGUGAGUAACACGUGGGAACGUGCCUUUUGGUUCGGAAUAACUCAGGGAAACUUGUGCUAAUACCGAAUGUGCCCUUCGGGGUAAAGAUUUAUCGCCAUUAGAGCGGCCCGCGUCUGAUUAGCUAGUUGGUGAGGUAACGGCUCACCAAGGCGACGAUCAGUAGCUGGUCUGAGAGGAUGACCAGCCACACUGGGACUGAGACACGGCCCAGACUCCUACGGGAGGCAGCAGUGGGGAAUCUUGCGCAAUGGGCGAAAACCUGACGCAGCCAUGCCGCGUGAAUGAUGAAGGUCUUAGGAUUGUAAAAUUCUUUCACCGGGGACGAUAAUGACGGUACCCGGAGAAGAAGCCCCGGCUAACUUCGUG
This 433-nucleotide ribosomal RNA is filed under the name uncultured bacterium. RNAcentral's name for it is "partial 16S ribosomal RNA". It matches the Rfam family "Bacterial small subunit ribosomal RNA", at positions 29 to 507 of the family's 1533-position model. The record is from RNAcentral.